This 220-nucleotide long non-coding RNA is filed under the name Mustela putorius furo (domestic ferret). Its description in RNAcentral is "lncRNA (ENSMPUG00000029695.1)". The record is from RNAcentral. Lineage: Eukaryota; Metazoa; Chordata; Mammalia; Carnivora; Mustelidae.
CUGGGGUGGAUCUUCCAGAGACGCGGCUCUGACGAAGCGGCACCGCUGGGGACACGCGCCAGGUCUCCAGUGUGUAUGUAAUUAACUGGAACUACAGCAGCACAGGACCAAGAGCAAGAAGUCAAGAGAAUCACAGGGAUUAUGGCCUUAUGACUGAUGAGCUGCUGAACUCACACUAGUAAUACUUAUAGCUGGACUUCUCGGUAUGUCAGAAUAAUUC